UAAUACAUGCAAGUCGAACGAGCUUCCGUUGAUUGACGUGCUUGCACUGAUUUCAACCAUGAAGCGAGUGGCGAACUGGUGAGUAACACGUGGGAAAUCUGCCCAGAAGCAGGGGAUAACACUUGGAAACAGGUGCUAAUACCGUAUAACAACAAGAACCGCAUGGUUCUUGUUUGAAAGGUGGCUUCGGCUAUCACUUCUGGAUGAUCCCGCGGCGUAUUAGUUAGUUGGUGAGGUAAAGGCCCACCAAGACAAUGAUACGUAGCCGACCUGAGAGGGUAAUCGGCCACAUUGGGACUGAGACACGGCCCAAACUCCUACGGGAGGCAGCAGUAGGGAAUCUUCCACAAUGGACGAAAGUCUGAUGGAGCAAUGCCGCGUGAGUGAAGAAGGGUUUCGGCUCGUAAAACUCUGUUGUUAAAGAAGAACACCUUUGAGAGUAACUGUUCAGGGGUUGACGGUAUUUAACCAGAAAGCCACGGCUAACUACGUGCCAGCAGCCGCGGUAAUACGUAGGUGGCAAGCGUUGUCCGGAUUUAUUGGGCGUAAAGCGAGCGCAGGCGGUUUCUUAAGUCUGAUGUGAAAGCCUUCGGCUUAACCGGAGAAGUGCAUCGGAAACUGGGUAACUUGAGUGCAGAAGAGGACAGUGGAACUCCAUGUGUAGCGGUGGAAUGCGUAGAUAUAUGGAAGAACACCAGUGGCGAAGGCGGCUGUCUAGUCUGUAACUGACGCUGAGGCUCGAAAG
RNAcentral lists this ribosomal RNA (745 nucleotides) under Levilactobacillus brevis. Its description in RNAcentral is "bacterial SSU rRNA". It matches the Rfam family "Bacterial small subunit ribosomal RNA", at positions 49 to 759 of the family's 1533-position model. Lineage: Bacteria; Bacillati; Bacillota; Bacilli; Lactobacillales; Lactobacillaceae. The record is from RNAcentral.